Long non-coding RNA from Dreissena polymorpha, 770 nucleotides. RefSeq lists it as uncharacterized. The record is from RefSeq and is a predicted model, not a curated record. Lineage: Eukaryota; Metazoa; Mollusca; Bivalvia; Myida; Dreissenidae. The transcript is spliced from 2 exons.
UUAUUUCGUGACGAAAUAACAAAGAUUACUUGGAUUUAAGCUAAUUAUAUACAUUAACAUUUUGAAUGUUGAAAGUGGCACCAAAGAAUUGUGAGGCAAAGUUGUUCGAACUAGAGAAAGACAUUUGCUGGUGAAGUGACUGGGUGGGGCGAACAUCAAGAUCAACUUGUUCGACGGUAGACAGUGGUUGUCUAGGCUGCAUUUCGGCCAUAGUUUCGGUGCAUGAAGGUGAACAAGAGGAAUCUGUUGGAUUGUAACAUUUACUGGACUGAGCAAGAAUAAUCACUUUUGCUGCUGUUCAACAGAUAUGUUGGAAUAAUUGGUUAUGGACUGGACAUUUUUGUGCCCUGUUAUGGCCAUGUGGGUGGAAUGUUUGCAUUUUGAAGUUUUUGGACCAGUAAUUUGCGAACUGAGUGGUUCGUUAUUCUCUUGUGCUUGAGAAAGCCGGCGUCUUUUGCCAUGGCCUUCAGCAUCUGACCUAACUUGUUGACACCCAAUUGUUGACGCAAGAAUCACCGGGAUGCAGUGUCAUUUGUGCGUAUUGCCAGGUAGAAAAGAUGCUUUGAAGAAAAAUCAGAUGGACGCAUAUCCGAGUACAGCUUGUAAAUGAACACAGGAUUUCUUGGUCCAGACGAUUGUUUUCUACGGUCAAAGGGGAGCAACUCGAACUGACUUCUUCAAAGGGGAGCAACAACAACAGAACCUAUUUGCAUAGUGUUAAAUUUACCUAAUACUAGGUUUUAAUGACAAUAAAUGACAAAAAACUCGUU